This 239-nucleotide ribosomal RNA is filed under the name uncultured Lysobacterales bacterium. Its description in RNAcentral is "uncultured Xanthomonadales bacterium partial 16S ribosomal RNA". It matches the Rfam family "Bacterial small subunit ribosomal RNA", at positions 92 to 334 of the family's 1533-position model. The record is from RNAcentral. Lineage: Bacteria; Pseudomonadati; Pseudomonadota; Gammaproteobacteria; Lysobacterales.
CGAGUGGCGGACGGGUGAGGAAUACAUCGGAAUCUACUCUUUCGUGGGGGAUAACGUAGGUAAACUUACGCUAAUACCGCAUACGACCUACGGGUGGAAGCGGAGGACCUUCGGGCUUCGCGCGAUUGAAUGAGCCGAUGUCGGAUUAGCUAGUUGGCGGGGUAAAGGCCCACCAAGGCGACGAUCCGUAGCUGGUCUGAGAGGAUGAUCAGCCACACUGGAACUGAGACACGGUCCAG